This is a small nucleolar RNA of 160 nucleotides. It matches the Rfam family "Small nucleolar RNA snR190".
GGCCGUGACGAUAACGGUCUUUCUUCUUUCCCAGUCCGAUUCGACCAUGACGAUAUGGGGUUCUACCACGCGACGCAGCCGGUUUACCGGCUGUAUUCGCUUUUCUUGCCAGUGGCUCGCCCUUCAAAAAGGCGAGCUACUAUAUUCAAGUGUCCGAGCC